CCUACUCAAUAGUAGUGGCUCGUGAGGCAGUCCGCAACAUAAAACAAAAGUACACAACACGUAGGCACUAAACUGUAAUCGUACAUUUAUUGCCACAAUACUUAAUCAUUCCACUGGAGGACAGGUAAAACAAACAAACAGACGGAGGGGACUUGGGCCAACCACACCACGGGCCGUAUGAUCCAGAGCCUUCCUCCGCUACCCAAAAUCCAACAGACCUAACGGGAGAAAUAAAGCCGCAAAAACCUAAUCCUAACACGUCCUCCAGGAAACACAACAAAAAGGCAAAAGAGCUCUGACACAGCAGAGACAUCCGGAGUAGUGAUCGGCCCCUCCUUCUCCUUCAGCCUCCUCUUUUAUGUUCGGCUGAUUGGCAACUGGGAACACCUGGGCCAAGCUCGGCUGAGUGACAACUGGGAACACCUGGGGAAGGCGGAGCCAGGUGUACCUGCACAGCAGAGAGAACAAAGAGGACAACAAAAAGGGGGGGAGUACGUAACACUCACAUUAAAAUGACAGGAUCAGGCUGAAAAUCCAUAAAGUAAACCUUUAAGCUAACACCACAGUGAUGUUCUUCAAAGAAAAUAA
Molecule: long non-coding RNA, 588 nt
Organism: Gymnodraco acuticeps
Lineage: Eukaryota; Metazoa; Chordata; Actinopteri; Perciformes; Bathydraconidae
Exons: 3
Source: RefSeq, a predicted model, not a curated record